UUCCCUUACCUGCCGAAUGUCCCUAGGAGGUCAUAUACCAGUUAAACUGCCCCAUUUUGCCUCUUAGUGUACAUUGUGAGCCCACUCAACCAGUUCCUGAGAUACUACUGGGAAGCUGCUGAUCACCAGUUUCAGGUUUUUUCCAUCUGUUGGGAAACUGCCUAUCCCUUGUGCUCGCUGCAACCAAUUAUUAUUUUAGGGAGACAGUUAACCGCCUGACCAUCACCCGAUGAUCGCCUGAUGUUCAUGCAUCCAUGACUACAUAAACUUUUUGGCCGUUUGACCAAAUGGGGACAUCUGGCAUACUGCUAUCAACCAAUAUGCCCUGUGUUAGAUGCUGCACAAAGAUGAAUAAGUGUGAACAGCUGUCAACUAUUCCAAAGUUGUAGCUGCUACAGCUGCUAUAAAAGGCAGCGAGUCUGAGGCUGCCCCAGGAAUCAGGAGGUGUUGUAUAAGAGGAGAACUUAGCUCUGAAUGGACUAGUAUACCUGAUCACCAGCAGCAGUUAAAAGAAGUGACUUUCACUCUCCGGCAUGAUUCUGAGGCCUCCCCAGCCAUGUGGAACUGCGGAGUUUCGCUCUUGUUGCCCAGGCUGGAAUGCAAUGGCGUGAUCUCGGCUCACCGCAACCUCUGCCUCCCAGAUCUUCAACUCCAGAGAACUGAGUUUAAGGAGCUGUACCUGGGAAAUUGUGCCUGAAGCUGUUCCUGAGGAAUCUGCACCUGGAUCUAAUGUACAUGCUGAGAUCCUGGAUUUGAGCUGAUGCCAUAGUGGGAUGAGACUUUGCCGUCUUGGGUGUGGGAUGAAUAUAUUUUGCACUGGGAAGGAUGUGAAGUAUUGUGGUUAAAAGGUGGACUGUAGUUCAUUGCAUUUUUCAACAAUGGCCACAACAGCAUCUCUUAUCCUAUGUGCUCUUCUUCCAAUGUGACUGUGUCCUCUCUCAUUAAGAUGCGGAGUCUAUUUCUCCACUCUCUCAAAUCUGGUGGACCCUGGGACUUCUACCAACAGAGUACAGUGGAAAUGAUGCUGGGCCACUUCCCGGUUUGGUCUUUAACUAGUCUGGCAGCUUCUCCUUUCUGCUUCUUGGAAGCCAGUAAGAAGUACAACUAUCCUGAGGCUUCUGCUGUGAGAAGCCCAAGCCAUGGGAGAGGCUCUGGAGAAUGAGACUUCACUGGGAGAGUGAAGAGAGGAGCGAAGAGAAAGAGAGAGGCACCAAGGAUCACUGAGUUGCCAGAACAUGAAUGCUAAGGCCAUAUUGGAAAUGGAUUCUCCUGCUUCAGCUGCCCCAGCUGAUGCCACCAGGAUCAGAGAUGAUCUGGCCAGCUGAGCCCUUCCUUAAUUCUAACCCAUAAAAUUGUGUGCGAAACAAAAUGGUUGUUUUCAACCACUAAGUUUUGGGGUAGGUUUUAUGCAGCAGCAGAUAAUGGAAAUACUGCUUGGUUUUGACUUUCAAAAAAAUCCAUUUGUUUUCAGGCUUGUCUGCACUCCUUCUUUAAGAGGUGCUAAGAGACUGGACUUAGUUCUUUGUCCAGAUAAAUGUGUUUUUCCCACUGCUAGCUUAGGUUUUAUUUUUUUCACGUCUGCUAAGUCAGUAGUCCAUUUGCUUUUCAGCUUCCAAAACUUAAUUAUUCUAAUUUUCCUUAUUGUUCUCUUCCUUGUGGAUUUAUGCAUUUUAUUUGCUCCUUUCUGUAAUUUUUGUGGUAUUUGGCAAACAGUGAAGGUAAAUAUACACAUUCAAUCUGCCACAUUUAACUG
RNAcentral lists this long non-coding RNA (1753 nucleotides) under Homo sapiens (human). RNAcentral describes it as "DDHD1 divergent transcript". Lineage: Eukaryota; Metazoa; Chordata; Mammalia; Primates; Hominidae. The record is from RNAcentral.